RNAcentral lists this ribosomal RNA (414 nucleotides) under uncultured microorganism. RNAcentral describes it as "bacterial SSU rRNA". It matches the Rfam family "Archaeal small subunit ribosomal RNA", at positions 459 to 872 of the family's 1478-position model. The record is from RNAcentral.
CAGCAGCCGCGGUAAUACCGGCGGCCCGAGUGGCGGUCACUAUUAUUGGGCUUAAAGCGUCCGUAGCCGGGUUGGGAAGUCCUCCGGGAAAUCUGGCCGCUUAACGGUCAGAAUGCCGGAGGAUACUCCCAGCCUAGGGAGCGGGAGAGGCCGAGGGGAUUCCCGGAGGAGGGGGGAAAUCCUAUAAUCCCGGGAGGACCACCUGGGGCGAAGGCGCUCGGCUGGAACGCGUCCGACGGUGAGGGACGAAGGCCAGGGGAGCAAACCGGAUUAGAUACCCGGGUAGUCCUGGCUGUAAACGAUGCGGACUUUGUGUCGGACAAGCUAUGAGCUUGUCCGGUGCCGGAGGGAAACCGUUAAGUCCGCCGCCUGGGGAGUACGGCCGCAAGGCUGAAACUUAAAGGAAUUGGCGGG